UCUAAAUGAAGGUAUUAGAGAGUGGGCAAACCCAUGUUUGUGCCCAGAUGAAAUGCUGCUGGGCUUAGUGCUGGCAAAACCAGGCUUUUCCUCUUGUGUGUGUCCGCAGCAAGCCCAGUCCUGGAGGGCCCUUGCUCAUCCCUGCAGGAGGCAAAAAACGUCUAACAGGAGGCAGAAUGUCUUUGACCGCUUGCUGCUGGGAGGACAGAGAGAGCAACACCUCCCGCUCCCCCAGCUCUGCUGCCUGCCCGGGUGCCACCUUCACCGGGGGCUUUCCUCCUCUCGGCACCCUCCUUUUCCUCCUCCUUGACCACCCGCCGCACACGGGCUGUGGCUGGGCCCACCGCACGCUGCCUCUGCCCCAUCUCUGCUCCUCGCUCAGUGCAAGUCUCCUGCUGCCGCUCUGCACCUCCGCUCCGCUGGAUGGGCAGGGGGACAGGGGCGAGCACAAAACAAAAGGAAGAAGAAAGACAAAGGGUAGUGAGAAGGUCCGUGGCCCGCGGCUGCCAAAGGAAAUCUCUCGCCGUGUUUCUCUCAACAUAUUUGUCCCAGCCACUACAGCUGCUGUGGGAUCCCCUGCUCCUUGUAGCCUGUGAGGAGGAGGGGAAGGGAACACGGUUAGUCUCAGCUCCUAAAGCCCCUUGGCAGCCCCGGCAAGGCUCUGGCAAGCCUGGUGCACGAGGAGGUGUGUGCUGACCCACGCAGGGGGGUAACCACCUGCCCUGGUAGGAAUGGGGGCACGCUGCCG
Anas platyrhynchos (mallard) is the source of this 748-nucleotide long non-coding RNA. RefSeq lists it as uncharacterized. NCBI's taxonomy places the organism in Eukaryota, Metazoa, Chordata, Aves, Anseriformes, Anatidae. The record is from RefSeq and is a predicted model, not a curated record.